Molecule: ribosomal RNA, 416 nt
Filed under: uncultured bacterium
Lineage: Bacteria
Description: partial 16S ribosomal RNA
Rfam family: Bacterial small subunit ribosomal RNA
Source: RNAcentral
AAUAUUGCGCAAUGGAGGGAACUCUGACGCAGCGACGCCGCGUGAGCGAUGAAGGNUUNNGGAUCNUNAAGCUCUGUCCUUGGNNNNNAAGGCGGCCAUUUUUUGGCCACUUGACGGUACCCCAGGAGGAAGCCCCGGCUAACUACGUGCCAGCAGCCGCGGUAAUACGUAGGGGGCAAGCGGUGUCCGGAAUUAUUGGGCGUAAAGGGUGCGUAGGCGGCCUUUUAAGUCAGAUGUGAAAGACCACGGCUUAACCGUGGGGUUGCAUUUGAAACUGGAGGGCUUGAGUAUCGGAGAGGGUAGUGGAAUUCCCAGUGUAGCGGUGGAAUGCGUGGAUAUUGGGAGGAACACCAGUGGCGAAGGCGACUACCUGGACGAAAACUGACGCUGAGGCACGAAAGCUAGGGGAGCAAACA